RNAcentral lists this ribosomal RNA (433 nucleotides) under uncultured bacterium. RNAcentral's name for it is "partial 16S ribosomal RNA". It matches the Rfam family "Bacterial small subunit ribosomal RNA", at positions 29 to 507 of the family's 1533-position model. The record is from RNAcentral.
AACGAACGCUGGCGGCAUGCCUAACACAUGCAAGUCGAACGGGACCUUCGGGUCUAGUGGCGCACGGGUGCGUAACGCGUGGGAAGCUGCCCUUAGGUUCGGAAUAACUCCCCGAAAGGGGUGCUAAUACAGGAUAAUGUACUCGGACCAAAGAUUUAUCGCCUUUGGAUGGGCCCGCGUUGGAUUAGCCAGUUGGGAGGGUAAAAGCCUACCAAGGCGACGAUCCAUAGCUGGUCUGAGAGGAAGGUCCGCAACACUGGGGAUAAGACACGGCCCAGAAUCCUAGGGGAGGGAGGCGAGGGGAAUACUGGAAGAGGGGGGAAGGGCCGAACCCGCCAUGGCGGGGAAGUCGUUAAGGGGUUAGGGAAGUGAAGCAGUUUUACACGGGGUGAUAAUGACGGUACCGGGAGAAUAAGCACCGGCUAACUCCGUG